GGGGGGGGGCAAGCGUUGUUCGGAAUUACUGGGCGUAAAGGGCGCGCAGGCGGGCGGGAAAGUCUCUCGUGAAAUCCCACGGGCUCAACCGUGGAAUUGCGGGAGAUACUACUCGUCUUGAGUUCGGGAGAGGAGUGUGGAAUUCCCAGUGUAGCGGUGAAAUGCGUAGAUAUUGGGAGGAACACCGGUGGCGAAGGCGGCACUCUGGACCGAUACUGACGCUGAGGCGCGAAAGCUAGGGGAGCAAACGGGAUUAGAUACCCCGGUAGUCCUAGCUGUAAACGCUGAGCACUUGGUGUAGCGGGUAUCGACCCCUGCUGUGCCGAAGCUAACGCAUUAAGUGCUCCGCCUGGGGAGUACGGUCGCAAAGGCUG
This 374-nucleotide ribosomal RNA is filed under the name uncultured organism. Its description in RNAcentral is "partial 16S ribosomal RNA". It matches the Rfam family "Bacterial small subunit ribosomal RNA", at positions 526 to 896 of the family's 1533-position model. The record is from RNAcentral.